RNAcentral lists this ribosomal RNA (262 nucleotides) under uncultured bacterium. Its description in RNAcentral is "partial 16S ribosomal RNA". It matches the Rfam family "Bacterial small subunit ribosomal RNA", at positions 793 to 1055 of the family's 1533-position model. The record is from RNAcentral.
GUCCACGCCGUAAACGAUGUCUACUAGCUGUUCGUGUCCUUGUGAUGUGAGUAGCGCAGCUAACGCACUAAGUAGACCGCCUGGGGAGUACGGUCGCAAGAUUAAAACUCAAAUGAAUUGACGGGGGCCCGCACAAGCGGUGGAGCAUGUGGUUUAAUUCGACGCAACGCGAAGAACCUUACCUACUCUUGACAUCUAGCGAAGAUUGUAGAGAUACGAUUGUGCCUUGGGAACGCUAAGACAGGUGCUGCAUGGCUGUCGU